RNAcentral lists this long non-coding RNA (6450 nucleotides) under Theobroma cacao (cacao). RNAcentral's name for it is "long non-coding RNA (TCAC_LNC002472)". Lineage: Eukaryota; Viridiplantae; Streptophyta; Magnoliopsida; Malvales; Malvaceae. The record is from RNAcentral.
AAAAGGAAGAACAAAACCUUAGGUGGAAAAAUUCAAGGGAAAAGUGUGAAAAUUCAAGGAAACAAGUGAAAAAAAGGUAAGAUUUUUCAAUUAAGCUUAAGAUCUCUCUUUCUUAAGCAUUUUUUCUUAUUUUCCAUGGUUGAAUCACAUGAUUUCAUGAUGAAUCCCAUGUUGGCCGAACACUUAGAGGGAGGUUUUGAUGCUUGAUUUGGUUAGAUUUCAAUGUAUUUUAAUGUUUUUAGUUAGUUAGUUAUGUGUAGUAUGAAAAGCCAACAAGAAAAAUUCACUUCCUCCCAUCACCCAUCAUUGGCCGAAUUCUCCAUGUAAAAUAUUGAUGAUGAUUUUGAUUUUAUUUCAAGUGAUUUGGUUAGGAAUUAGUGAUUUAUGGUGUGAUAAUCAAGCUUGAAAAAUUAUAGUGUUAAUGCACCCACUAUGGCCGAAUUUUCCAAGAGAUAAUGUGCGCAUGAUUUUGCCAUAUUUCAAGUUAUUUAAUUUGUGUUUGAUGAUUUGGAGUAUUGGAAGAAAAAUGGAAUUAAUUGGAGUUGAAUUGGACAUAUUAGCUAAUUAAUCGAGUGAUAGAUAAAAUUAGGCGAAUAUCGUUUUAUUUAGGUACACAAUUGAAUUUGUGUGGAACACCGUGUUUAGACGAUAAUCCGAACAAUUUACAUCCCAUUUCAUGCAUUAGUAUAGAGCCUGAAUUGGUUUUAUAACAAUUUAGCACAAAUGUAGUAAAUGGCUUAUUGUGCAUUAUGUCUAGGUGGUGAGCAUUCUGGCAAAAGUAAAGAGAUAGUACCCGAAAAUCAAGAAUCGGAGUACUCAGAAUUCGACUCCCGAAAUAGUGAGUAACCUUACUAUCAUCUUGAUUAUCUAAAGUGAUUUUUAUCCGAUUUUGUGAUUUUAUGAAAAAUGUGUUAAAUGGUAAAUCUUUUGUGUUUUGUAAUUAAAAUGUGAUUUAAUGAAAUGAUUUUAUAACAUUGUCUUGAAAUGAAAUGAUGGUUUGAAAAUAGAGUAAUUGGAGACUGUUUUCAUGUGUUGUAAAUUCAUGGUUUGAAUCGAAUGGCUUAUGACAAUAUUUGCAUGAAUGGUUGAAUUGGUAUUUGUGUUGAAAUAUAUGAACUGUGUAUUUUGCCUUGGGAGGCUGGAUUGUGAUAUAAUUGCCAUGUCAUGCGGUUGAGAUUUUAUUGAAUUGGUGGGUUUAGCUUGCUGUAGUGGGUGGGUUUCGUGGACCAGCCUAUUAGAGGGGCAUGGUAACCCCGUUAUACUCUUACCUCGGUCUGAAAGGCGUGUAAGGUAACUCCCGAGGUACAACUUUAGAGUUCACUUUACGCCAAACCACCACGUGAGGGUGAACUCAGCCAACGCCAAGGAACGACUAUGUUUUCAAAAUAAAAACAUGAUUUAUGCAUACAUGACUUUUUAACUGCCUUGGUGGACUCGGUUGGGAUAGCCCCAGGCCAAGGUAUCCCUAAUAACUAAGUAUGAUAAUGAUUUUCGCACGAGCCAAAGUUUUAAGAAAUUCAUAAGCCAUGUUGAAUACUCAAUUUAUAUGAAUUGAUUUUAUUUAGUUGAAAUGAGUUGAAAGGUGAUGAAUUACAGUAUGAUAAUCUAUUUUAAUCUGUCUCCAUUUACUCAACUUUAGAUAUUUUAGAUGGUGUUUGUUUACUCACUGGGAUUAUAUAAUCUCACCACCCUCAUUUUCACCCAUUUUAGGCUCAAGAUAGUCGGUAAAUAGCUCAUUUCGUUAAGGGCUACAGUUGGACUUACAUCCUCAAAAACUGUAGGUUUACCGCUUUUGAUACUUUUGAUCGUUCGUGGGCCCACAUGUCACUGUAAAUUAAAUCUUAUGCUUUGGUUAUCUGUAUUACAGUAUGUAUGAAUUUAUUUAGCUUUUACGCUACAAAAAUUAUUUACCAGGAACUCUGUAAAUAUUUUUUUAUAAGAAAAUAGAAUAUUUUAUUGAAUAUUUUUAUUAUAUUCAAAUAAUUAUAGUUUCGUUUUAAAUGAAUGUUUUAGACAUCUAAACUUAUUUUUGAUUAUGAAAUAUGUGUUUUCCACUCGCAUACUAUAUUUUUAGCUGGUUUCAAGAUUUUCGAGGAAAAAUGACCAAAAUGCCCCUGUGAGAAAAAAAAUUAUUUAUCUAUUGUUUUGAUUUGAAAAUAGUUUAUAGUCUCUCAAAACAUGAUACUUAAAAACUAUUGCUCACAGAGGAGGUGCAAAAAUUGAUAUUAAAGCCUUGCGUGGUUCCGGUUGGAUUCCGGGAAAUGAAUGUCUAUCGGGACGUCGCGAUGGUUAUCACGGGCUCGAGGGGAGUACCGGGUCGUGACAUAAAUCAAAGAAAGAAAAUAAAACAAAAAACAGAGUAAUCAAGAUAAUAGAAUUUAGAGUGGUUCGGUCCAAGACCUACAUCCACUACCUCGAUUAUCCAACUAAGGAUUUUCCCAACAAAUCCACUAAGAACCGGUGAAAUUCACAAGCUUUCACCAAGCUUUACAAUGGCUUUUACCAAGCUCAGCCAAAACCUUUUACACUAGUUUUUCCCGGGCUCAACUAUAACCCAACACUUAACUUUUCAAGGCUAAGUUAGAACCUUAACACAUUCAAGCAAACCUAGCUUGAAAUAACCACUUAGAGUGACUCCCUCACUCUAAGAAUACAAGAAGAGGAGUAAAAAAAAGUACCUAUGAUCAGAAGUUGAUCUAAAUGGUACAAGGUUAAGUGCAAAAUACAAAUACAAAGGAUGGGCGUUUAAGUGCGGUGAAGUACAAAGAAGAUUUUCUCAUUUUUUAACUCUAAAAUGACUCAAAUCUUUUCCAAAACCUCUAAGAAGUGAAUUCUAACCGUUGAAAGACCCUUUUAUACUUGGAGAAAUAGCUCUGAUGGUAGUUAGGCAGUUUAUGGCCGUUGGAAACAGUUUAGAGUAGGUUCUAGCUGUUAAUCUGUCUUCUAGUGCUCUGGUUCAAAUUGCAGACAAAGAGCUCUUAGUCGACUAACUUUCUUCUUGGUUGACUAAGUUGGUUUUGUCUUCUGGUCGCAGAUUCUGGCAGAGAGCAUUUGGUCGACUAACUCAUUUCUUGGUCGACUAAGUUGGUUCUGUCUUGAAGUCUAGAUUUUGGCAGUAGCUUCUUAGUCGACUAACUCUUAUCUUGGUCAACUAAGUUGGUUCUAUUUCUCAAUAUUCUUCAGCCCGCCAUUUCUCCAAUUUAAAUUUUAGUCAACCAACAUUCUUCAUUAUUUAACUAAAGACCUUUUUUUUGGUUGAUCAAUCGUUUUUUUUCAUUUUCAUGAUUUUUGAUAUGCACAUUUGAAAGGUUGAUUUAAUAUUUCCAUGACUUUUUGUCCUGCACACUUAGGUAGAAAUCUUAGACACAAAUGAAAUGGGAAUGUUUUAUUAUAAUUAAAAGCUAAUGGAGCCAACAUGCCCAGCUUAUUAACAUUAAAUACCAUCUAAGUAAAUGUCCUCUUGACUUUUUACUCUACAUUUACUUAAGAUAUUUAAUGUAAAUAAGCAAGUAACCCCCUAUUUGGAUUCAAUAGAAAUAUCCAAAAAAUAAAAAUCCAAAACCAUCAAAAUCUAAAUUUUGGUUUCAAGAACAAAAUCGAAAAAGUUUGACUGAAAUUAAAUUUGCUGCUCCCAUUUAUCAUAGCAAAUUACCACCAAAAAUUAUAAGAAAAUCAUUUUUGGUCAUCUAAAAAUUAAGGGAAUCAUUACCACCAUUUUUUGUUUUUAAAAGAUUGUUCUAUAAAAAUCACAUAUUUUGACCCCUCCUAAACUUAAAAAAAUUUUUGCUUCAAAAGUGAUAGACAACCAAUAGUGUCAAUGAAUUCUUUUGAAAGGUAAAACUAAUUUUCAUAGUCAAAAUAUGUAAUCUAUAUGCUUACCUAAGGAUUUCCUAACUUAUCCUUUUAGUCAAUGUUGGAUUUCACAGGUAGUAUCCUGAUUAGAAUCAUGUUAGUUCUCGAAACUAGUCAUUAACUCUUUUAAUGUAAUUAGAAUACUCCUUUCCAAAUCUUCAUACUAUCUUGGCCAAGGAUGUUUUGAGUUAAUACAUGCAAAGAAGUACUGGGAUAUUUCUUUUAAUAUCACUUAGUGUGAUGAAUCUUCUAUUGAUCAUUCAUCUGUCUCCAUAUACUUCAUGCUAUAUCCAAUAUCCAUCACAUUGUACAUGCUAUAAGACACUUCACAUAUAAAAUAAUUCGAUAAUCUUAUGCACAUGGUUCACUUACAAAACUGUUAAAUGAAAAUAUGUUUUCUUAUAUACUUAAGUAAGAUAUCAAAUGAAAUUUUUAUAAUAGGUCAGGUUUAGUGAACUUGUUCAUUUAACAAUCAUCCAUAUAUUUGUUCAAGUAUCCUCAUACUUCAACUUAUAUGAUUAAUUGUUCACUUCAUAAAUAAGAAAUAUAACAUGUGUUGAUCUAUUGACUUUAUUAUUAUCUUAUUUUGAUAAAGUAUCAACUAGCAAGAACAUGUAGAAUUAAUGCUUUAAUGAUGAAAUAAGGAACCCAGAAUUAUAACACUUUAUAAUUUCUUUUACAAAACAUAUUAUGUGAGACCUCGUCCUCUAUAGACCCGUAACUAGCAGUAGACGCGAUAACAUGGAUUAAGGGCAAUUUCGUCAUUUCUCUGGUAAGCUCCUGGAAGUAGCUUUCAAAUCUUAUUAAGGUCUAAAUAGACCUAAGGAAUAAAUGAAUGAUGGUAAAAUGAAUGAAGAAGAUAGAAAUAUCGAUAAUUUUCAUGAUAGGGGCAAAACGAUCAUUUUGCAUCUCGAGUCAAAAUUUUUAAGUUUUCAUGAACCCGAGUAUUCCUAGACUCUUAUGGACCUUGUCUUAGUGUCAAAGAAGUAAAAAGAUUGUAUAAAGGCAAUGGAAAGAAAAAAUGACCUUGUUAAGGGUAUUUUGAUAAUUACGUGAGAAAAUUGAUAAACAUAAGGCAUAAAUAUCUAAGUUUCUAGCAAGUUCUUCAAAUUUCCAGCAACUUCUCCUUCUUCUUCUUCCUUUCUCGCGUUUUCUUACCUUCCAUGGGAGCUUGCUUUGAAACCUCCAUAGAUUUUUUCAAGUUAACCCCAAUUUUCAUGCUUUUUUGCACCUUUUCGCAAAGUCCUUUGUGCUCUCUUACUCUUUCACCUUAAAACCCUCAAAAGCCUUUCCUUAAUUCUUUCUCUCACUAGUUGGAUGUUCUAAAGAGAGAAAAAGAGAUUUUUCAAAAGAAUUUGAAAGCUUUUGAAAAGGAAUUCGAUUACAAAACUACCAAGGUGAGUAAUGAAACUGAGUUGAUUUUUUUUUACUUGUUGAGAAUGGCUAGUGGCUAAAAUUGUGAAUGUUUUGUAGUUGAGGUCGUCUAUUCAUUUUAGUGUGACUAGAAUGGUGAAAACAGAUAGCCACUUAAUGGUAGUUGGAAGCCAGUUAGGAAUAACUAGUAGAGCAUGAUUUAGGAGAUAGCUUUUAGAAAUAUGGUUAUGUGAAUUGAGUUGAUUUGUGAUGCUAAUGUGUGUGAUAGGUCCCAACGAGACCCCACAUUUUCAUUUGGACCAUUAGUAGGAGUUGGAGUCGAUUUAAGAAUCAACAAAGACAUUGUGAGUGAACUGACACUAAAAAUAUUUUGGGAAAUGUAUUGAUGAAGCGUGUGAAAGAUUUUUAUUUGAUUGUUCCUUAAAGAUUAUUCAUGGGAACCAGCCUUUAUCAAAAUGUUUUACAUUGUGAGUGUGCAAUAUGAUGAAUCCUUGUGCCUUAUAUGAUGUUGAUAUAAAUAUAUAUGUUGCGUAUUGAUAGUUAAUAUUGUGUAACAAAUAUCACCGUGCGUGUGCACAAUGUGGGGAUGCACAUGAUGAUGAUGACAAGGUGCGAAAGUGUGGAUAGUGAUGUUGAUGUGUACGAGUAGGGAGUGCACACGAUAUAGUAGGUGGAUGUAAUGUAUGUGAAAUCUUGCAUGUUGAACCUUGAAAUCUUGCUAAUUAUCUUCAAAUUGAAUUGUAUUGCAGCGAGAAACUCUCGGGUUCUUGCCAUCCGGAUCUCGCUGUAGCGAGAAUCCACUCUCGCUACAACGAGAAACCUUUUGUCAUGUUUACUACCCUGCUUGGUUUUUGCCAUAUUUUCUACUUCUUUAACCUCAUGGUUGAUCAUGGAUUUUCUACAUCAAGGGAUUAGUUAAUCAAGUUUGGAAUGAGGGGUUUUAAUAAGAAUUAAACUAAAUUGCAUUGUUUUUGAAUCUAAGUGCAUCAUGAUUUUUAAACUUUCCUUACGUCGCUUGUUCCCUUCCUAUGUUCACUCACUAGGUUUAUACUCACUGUUUUCAACUUCAUGUUUUCAGAUCAGGAGGCAGUUAGAAACUAGGUCGAGGUGUCCUUGUAGAUUCGUUUCUUUGGUAGGUAUCUCGGCAUUCAAUAGCUAUACCUUCGCCAAGGUCACUCCGCUAGAAGUCGAGUAUCUCUUUUGUUGUGUAUAGAUAAACCUGAU